AUAAGUAAUGUGAAUUGCAGAAUUCAGUGAAUCAUCGAAUCUUUGAACGCACCUUGCACCCCUUGGUAUUCCGAGGGGUACGCCUGUUUGAGUGUCGUGAAAUCCUCA
This 108-nucleotide ribosomal RNA is filed under the name Gloeocystidiellum clavuligerum. RNAcentral's name for it is "partial 5.8S ribosomal RNA". The stretch from base 1 to 97 matches the Rfam family "5.8S ribosomal RNA", at positions 58 to 154 of the family's 154-position model. From Rfam's summary of the family: 5.8S ribosomal RNA (5.8S rRNA) is a component of the large subunit of the eukaryotic ribosome. It is transcribed by RNA polymerase I as part of the 45S precursor that also contains 18S and 28S rRNA. RNAcentral also lists the same sequence under 1 other name. The record is from RNAcentral. Lineage: Eukaryota; Fungi; Basidiomycota; Agaricomycetes; Russulales; Gloeocystidiellaceae.